This is a long non-coding RNA of Etheostoma cragini (Arkansas darter), 118 nucleotides long. RefSeq lists it as uncharacterized. The record is from RefSeq and is a predicted model, not a curated record. The transcript is spliced from 3 exons. Lineage: Eukaryota; Metazoa; Chordata; Actinopteri; Perciformes; Percidae.
ACCUGAACAUCCACCACCCUGCUACCAAACAAAACGGCAGAUAAUUUAACAGUCAAGUUUACACAAAUGAAUAUAGAACUUUGCAUUUUUGUUUUAUUAAUAUUAACCAUUUCUCACA